UACGGAGGGGGCUAGCGUUGUUCGGAAUUACUGGGCGUAAAGCGCGCGUAGGCGGACCUGCAAGUCGGGGGUGAAAGCCCGAGGCUCAACCUCGGAACUGCCUUCGAUACUGCGGGUCUCGAGUCCGGGAGAGGUGAGUGGAAUUCCUAGUGUAGAGGUGAAAUUCGUAGAUAUUAGGAAGAACACCAGUGGCGAAGGCGGCUCACUGGCCCGGUACUGACGCUGAGGUACGAAAGCGUGGGGAGCAAACAGG
RNAcentral lists this ribosomal RNA (253 nucleotides) under uncultured bacterium. RNAcentral describes it as "partial 16S ribosomal RNA". It matches the Rfam family "Bacterial small subunit ribosomal RNA", at positions 524 to 776 of the family's 1533-position model. The record is from RNAcentral.